GGGAAUACCCUAACCCUGGGAACCGGGGCAUAUAAAUCCGCUUAUGGCAUUCACCCAAGCAUACAGAGACAGAUGGAAUGAAAGAAAGAAAAGGUAGCUCCGCAGCUCGCCCAGAAGAAGAAAGACCCGCCGCUAACGAUUUGGAAAUCCCUGGUGGGCUGGGCCUGAAAGACAAGUGUGUGUGGAUUUCCACAUCCUUGUCUUUACUUUAAGACACAACUCUUCUCUUUCUCGGUCAAAUGAAUUGCGAUAGUCUACCUUGAGUAGGACCAUAGGGAUCUUAUGUUUGUGGCGAAAGAUAAGUGGUUCUGUCACAACCGAGAAAGUUUCUAUGAGUGAGCGACCCUUGAUAAACGCCGAUUGAUACGUGUCAAUGUCAAUAAGUGGUUGAGUGUUGUUAAAGACAAUGUUUGUUCCUCUUCUUUGAAACGAUUUUCAUGAAUCUCGAGAUGAUACUGAUUGGCCUGAAAUCCUCGACGGUGUUGGCAUCUUUUUUCUUUGGGAGGAGAGUGAUGGAUGCCUGGGUUAGCCUCCAAACAUAAAGGCCAUUGCUAUGAAAGAGCUGCAAGAGAGAAAGCAGUUGCAGGUGGAUGAUGUCCCAGAAGGCUUGGAUUGCACAGAUUCUACCAGAGGAUGUUGAGAUGCUCCCAUUGCAACUCACUGAUGGAGAAGAACUGGAGAGCUCAGCUAGAGCUGGAGGAGGUGGUAGUACCUGUUCCCUACUGGUACCAGUGGUGGCUUGAUCACUUCAAAUUGGAGGGACUAUUGGGCCAAAUUCCCAUACUAUAAAAAAAGGUUUUCUUUUCUGAUAUAUCGGAGGUUUUGUGUGCAGAGGCCGCCAGGUUGAAGUUGGAUGUUGCUUUUGUAGUUCCCAGUAAAGGAUGAUGCUGGGUCUAUGAUGCAUUUUAUUUGGAUUUUGGCUGAUAGUUUUCGAUGAAGCCACAGAUUCUACUCUUGUCUGAGACCUGUUGGCUUCAUCCAGAGGGAGAUGUGUUCUAGGGUGCCAAAGUACUCUUCAGCUGAAGAACUCUCUUUGGGACAAGGGCAUCAUCAAAGCAAAGAAAUCAGAAGAAGAAGCAGUCAGUAAUGCAAUGCGAGACAAGUGUCAUGUAGCAAGGUGCCCGGAAUCUAUCGUAUAUUGUAUAUAGGGAUUUUGGAUUGCGAUUUCCUUUUGGGGAUCAGGCCGAUUUGAUGACAGGAAUUUCCUUGUUUGUUGCAGCCUAAGAUUGGGAUUGGCCUACUCUUCUUCUAUAACCGGGAUCUUACGACUCUCGUGCUUAAUAAGUUGGCACCUCGCAUCCUGCCAAAACCUAAUCCUCUUAUUCUCUAGCUAGAGUUGGUCUCCUUAAGAAGAUAUGAUACUUCUACUUUUGACACCGUUUUUUUCCUAUUUUUAAACUCCAAUUGAUAAAGCCACCUGGCGAGUAGGAAUAGUUUCGAGUUUCUGGUCUGUUUUCUUUUGAGAAUCAAACCUCUAAUGGGUUUUUGCUACCAGGAGAAGGGAAUGGCCAUUAUGAUGGGGUCUAUCUAAAUAGAGAGGAUCCUACAGGGCUGAUUACUCGAUCACUCCAUUGUGAUGACAAUCACACCCAUAUUCUUUAUUAUUUCUAAAUAUAGAUAACUGCCAUCUCCCGGCAUAAGAAGGACUGACACUAACGACAGCCCCUAUAAUAGUAGACAACACGUUUUAAAUCAGACUGGACUGAAUGAAGAAAGAUCUUUCCACACAAGAGUGGAAGGGAUCCUUUAGAAAUAGUUCUUAGCUCCAAUCAAGCUUUCUCUGAUGUCUAGGAUCGUUAGUGCUAUAGUGGAGACACUUUUCUCAAAUAAGAAUGGUGGUCACAUUCCCUUUCUGGUGGUAGUCAUUGAGGAUCUCAAAAACAGGGAUCGCAAAAACGUGUCAAUAAUGACAACGCUGGGCGAAGAGGCUAAAGAAGAAAAACCUGUAGAUUUGAAUGCCACUUCCUUUGCUAAGAUAGCUAGAUUUGGAUGUCCAUUCCAUAAGGUAUAGCUGCAUCUGACACUAAGUAGAAGUUACUAGCAGGAUAGACAGGAAGCUCUGAAGGAUGUACAAUGCUUGGAGGGACAGAAGUUUCCAGAGAAAUGGUGUCUUUUGAUGGGCAUUUGUAGAUGAUGGUUGAUACUGCAAACAAUGCCUUCUUGACAGCUCUAGCAUCACUAGUUAUCUAUUAAGCAUAAAGAUACAUUAAAGAUAACAAUUAGCGGAAUAUAAGAAACAAAGAAUAGAUAUUGAAUAAAGAAAAAAAAAGAGAAGAGCCUCAUAACUAUCCUAAUAUAGAUAAUACCACGUUCGCCUUGUUCUUUACGCCGAUCCAACUCGUGCUUUUUAGGAUGUAUUUCACACGGAAUCAAGGGAGGUGCGGGAUACGACCCAUAUCACAUUCCUGUGCCAUAGCUUGCAAAAUCAAAUAAAUCUAUCGAAGCUAGGGUGCCAGGCCUAUAAGAAUCAGAAGAACAAUCCACACUAAUGUAACCAUAAAGAAAUGGCGGCUCUAACAUAGAUUUUUCUCAAUAUGUCAUGUUGUUGAAAAAUCCUGUGGUACCAUGGGAUGAUCGGCACUUUAGUUUUAGUUAUUGAUUUAUGCAUCACGCAUUAACUAAUAUUUAUGGGGCUGGAGACUUCGCUAAAGCAUGCACAUAAAUAGAUGAAUGAGAGAUUACAAGGCAAGGAGAUACAGAUCUGGGGGUUGACUCAGAACUUGUACAUAGGUCAGCUCACUAAUGCUUAAUAACCAAUAAAUAGUCAAUCAAGAGAUAUGCACCAGCAAACAACAUUAUACUGAAAUAGUGUAUUAGGCGGCAAAUGGCACAGAAGAGUUUAGACGAUAGAUUCUCUACAACAGGUAGGGAUCGGGGGUUAUACGCUCUUUUCUAUAAACAAAGUAGGCUUGUGAUUGUCCGCAUCCAUCACUCAAUCAUGCAAUUCAAAGAAAUGGUUUACUUAUCUUCUUCUAAAGGAUGGAAUUGCUAGAUUGUCAGUAAUAUCAAUUGAGGAAGAAGCUAGCCCCACUUAAAUUCGAAAAGAAGACCUCUAUUGUGACAGAAGAUUCCUCGCCCACAGCAUCUCACUUAUUGAUUGUGACAUAGCUCUCUAUCUCCGCUCAUAAGAAGAUAGCGUUUCAUUCACUCGCUCUAGAAACCAUAGGAGCUACUAUUCCACAGUUUAUUAAGAAUGGGCACUCACUGGAUUCAGGCUUCCACCGUUCUAGCUUCUCUUCGUAGUUCACUAGAAUGUAUCGAGCAUGUUUAUCCGGAUCAGGAGGCUUUACAUAAAUUGCUACGAUUGCCAAGUCGAAAAAGAACUGGGCAUGAAAGUGAAAGUGGAAAGAGAAGGGAGCGUGAUUUGUUUCAAGAAUUGGAUGCCCUUGUUAAGGAAAUCUAGUAUGAAAGGAGAAAUUGGGCCUAUUUAUAACUUUUGGUACCUAACCACCUGAACUGGGAAUAAUGGCUAAAGAUUGAAGGUUCUAAGCCAUGUAUCAGAGCCGGUUAUUUGAGUAUCGAUGCUGUUGGAGUCUAGCUUCCGACCAAUCCACUUCACUUCGGAGGACAUAACAGCUUAAGAAGAAAUCGAGAUCAGGCCCGUGGAAAGCACAGACACACGCCUGGGGAAUGAAUCCACUUUUGCAUUCUCAAUACUAGGGGGGGCUUCUCCGAUUGAUUGCUUUAACUGUUAUUCCCCAGAUUGGCGAAAUGACAUUUCGUCUGGCUUCCAUAAAAUAAUAAAAUGUGCUUUCGCCAGAAGAAGAAAAAAGAAGAUAGCUCAGUAAAUGGCAUUCAAGUAAAGUCGAGAAAAAGGCCUUGCUUUCGCACAGGAAGGAAAGAAUUGACUCGGGUAAGUAAGCCCUAUUGGGGGAUUAAGGGCUCGAGUACGAUUAGAGCGCCUUUUUUUCUGCUGCGCAGGCUGACCAUUUUAAAUAGGGGGAAACAGGAGACUGUAGAAGAUGAAUAUGGCUAGUCUACUGCUACUGUUUGAUUGGCAAUCCUUAGACUAUAGGGAUGAAGAAAAGGAGCAUAACCUACCUGCAACUAUGCUUUAAAGCAAAGAAAUCUAUCGAAAUUCUCAUUCCAGUCUGAGGGGAUAUCUGAAGCUACCGAUCCGGGAUCUCACUCAAAUCCAAACCUAGCACUUUUGUAUUUAUUGCUUCUCCUUUUAGAAGGUCCGUAGCCGAGUAGAAGAGAAGAAAAGAGAUUUCCUUAUCUGCAUGCCAGCUUUCAUUCCUACUUUUGAGGCAAGGGCAGUUGCUGCCGACAAGUCGACUAAACUUUCACAACUGUCACCUAUCUUUAAGCACCUUCUAGGCCGGUUCCCAACCUAAUGCAUUCAAGUCUGCCUUCGGUACUAGUACUUCGGAAUCAAGGGCCCAACAAGCGAUAUCAGGAGUCUUUGGCCGAAGAACUCGCGGAUAAGAAGGUUAUUCCAUAACUAUAUAAAAUCCAUAGUCACGCUCAGCAUGCGAAAGCUUGUAAAAAUGACAUCCCAUGCGAAAACCAAUAGGAUUUGUUGGGCCAUCGAACACUAGUUUCUGGUUUCUCAAGACCUUGAGGCAAGGGCAGUUAUGCAACAUUUUCUCAAUAUUGAAUGUGCAUUUUUCCCGCAUUUUUUCGAUUCCACUUCUGUAUCAGAAAUUAGUGUCAAGGGAUGGAGUUCCUGUUUCGUUAACUAAGUCUCGCGUUGUUUGCUUGAGGAAGGGACGGUCGUAGCUCAAUUUCCAUUGCUAAUCUUACAUGUUCCCACGAACAAUAAAGAAAAGAAGAAAAGGCUAUUCCUUAGACACAGAGGUGGGAUUAAGGCGUCAUGCGGAACUCCAACAACAUAGACCAGAUGACUUAUUUAUUGAAAAUAGGUUUAGGAGCCUGAUCCUGGAGCUGAGCAAGCAUGGGCGCGAUCCACAUCGAGUGGAACUACUAUCACUAUAUCUGUGGAAGGAAGGUGGAACCUUCACCGAAUCAUAGUUAGGUGGCACCCAUUCCGCAGUGGGCCGACGUCACACUGUCGCUUCAAUAGCUAGCGGGUAAUAAUCAGAAAGUGAAUCAUCAACCACUCAUUUAGAAGCCGCUCAUGCAACAACGUUUAAGUAAAUCCUUCCGCCCUUAUUUUCUGUAGUCUAGUUGUUGGAGGAAAUGCGCCUUGAACACAUUACGUAUACUAGCUGAGCUUUGUCCCUAAUCGUGACUAGUUGUUAUUAGUUUCGAUCAAAUUUCCCCCCAGCCGGCAAUGCCUCAGCUUCUAAAAAUCUAGGAAGCUCUCAAAAAAGUCAUCAUUAUGAAAAGAUACUAGCGCUACUAAUAAGGGAAGCGACUUUUUUCUAAGAAAGGAAUAAAGCAGAAAACUAAAGAAAGAGAUCUUAAGUGGGUCCCGCGAGUAGUUUGUCUUGUUUCAGUCCGUACAAGAAGAUACUUUCAGGGUUGCCCAAGAAGGGACGGGCCUAUCUAUUGGUGGUACUAGUUCCGCGGGAGGGGCAGGAUUUCGGUGCCGUCAGCAUGGGUCCGGCUAUCGAUCACAAGGGUCUAGAUACGGGUCUCGAACGGAAAAGUAUGCUACAUAUUGCUCUACUCUAGUUCCCUCUGCUUACACCUGGUCAAUUCGUUGAUCGCCCCUUUUAUUUCUGAUUUUCAAAAGGGCCCCGCUCUCGUCUCUGCUGACGAAGCCUUUAUCUCUGUCUCUGUUAUCCUCGUACCUGCUGAUCUCUUCGACUGAUAGAGUCUAUGCUAUUGGUGAAGCUGGUUCUACCUCAACAACAGGAUCUGCAAAUGGAUUUUCAACUAACAGCCUCUGCUUCAAUUUGUGAUGAAAGGUCGACUAGUUUUCACCGAAUCUUCAAUUACGCACCGGUAACUUUUUUCCAUUUCCGAGGUCUAGAGGGGAAGACGAAGUACAUCCUAGUUCAGAGAGUCACGAUUGAAUCCAGGUUAAUUCAGCAGCAGCUAGAGCAAUACUCCGAUAUUGAUUUGAUUCUCCGCUACCCACCAAGGUAGAAGACUGCUUGAUCCGCAAAAGAAGUAUGCUUUAUUUGCUUAUAGAACAAAAGUAUACGCUUUUUCAGGGAAAGAUAGAGGGAAUAGGGCAUUCAGCAGUUUGAAGAGGUAGCCUUUUUUAGUAGCAGUCUUGUAAGCAAGCGCCGUACGUUCAAUCUAUACUGGCGAGAGUCUUUCCUCUUAUAAAGCCUGAGCGCGUUGCAUGACUUAAUGCCAGCUCUUUAUCAUACAUCUUCUGUAGAACCAAUAAAUAUAAGGGAUAUGUGUUAGCACAUCUUGUUCGUGCUCUGCACCAUGUUUUUCCUGUAUACCGGCAGCUAGCAUCCCAUCAGUAACCUACGGGCGAGAUUUCUUGAGGGGGGCUGGCCAUGGUUUUUUAACCCACCCUUUCAUUCACUUAAGACCCAAAGCAGAAAAGGUUUGCAAUCCAUAUACAGGAAUUUGGUUCCACCGAAGUACAAGGACUAAACUGGUCGACUCCACCGCAGGGUGCGAGAUGUUGAGCUUCCUCGACGCCUACUCUGGGUAUCAGCAAGUCUAUAUGGCUGAGGAAGACAAAGAAAAAACGAGUUUGAUCGCCCCUUCCUUCUGCUACAAGCGGAUGCCCUUCGGUUUGAUAAAUGUCGGCGCCACAUUUAAGCGCCUAAUGAGCCUCAUCCUCAGGUCUCAGUUGGGUCGUAAUGCAGAAGUGUACAUUGACGACGCCGUCAUCAAAAGCCGCUUGGCAGGGACUCACCCCAAAAACACCUCUUUUUUUGCAUCUGCUGAGCAGAACCAAUUACCAGAUCCUACUUCUAAGCUCUAUGCUCUACUUCGGCCUUGUUCUCACUUAUGGGUAGGAAGGACAAUAAGCAGGAAUUCAUGUUGGCUAACUAUUCUAUCCAGGCAGAAGUUGUUUUCAUAGGAAAGACGGAAGGUUUUGCGCGUUGGUUGUAUCGAAUUUCCCUUUCUAAUAGCAUACACAAAUAGAUAAAAAAGUUACGACGAUGAUAAGGUAAAUGAAAACCUUUGAUUUACCUUACCAUCAGUUCUGUCUUAUCUCUAUGCCUCCUCUAGCCAUUUCAUAAUUGGAUAUCGUCAUUCAAAUCUGUUAUGACAACUGUUUGGUAAGCAGGGAUUCGAAUCAAACAAUAAAUACCAACUCUAAGUGUGAUGGAUAGUACCUGGUGCCUAAUUUCAUGGUAUCUUUCUUGGCGCCUACCACAGGAAAACCCCUCCUUCUUUUGGGAGGAAAUCAAAUGAGUAAAGGUUUCUGCCGACUCCCCUCAAGGAACCACUCACUACUCAACUUGAAACCACAGACCUACGUCCUGCUUUUUACUUUCUUCUUUGUCCCAAUUCAUAUCGAGCAUGUCUUUCUCCAUCUAUAGAUAGAGAGAAUAUAGGAUAGGGGCGCUCAAAGCAAAUAGGAUUCUGUAUCAAAUACUAAUAGGUACUAACCGCAUUCAAGAUUGACUUGACCUCUUAUUUUGGAUAGGCAGAAAUGCUUACGCCCUAGGGGUUUAAAGGGCCCACUCCCUUUGGUUGACUCAUCAGGCUCACCACCUUUUGGAGCUCAUCCAACAGUCAGUCUACUUAAUCGUAAUCAUAAUCAAUCCGUUGCUAUUGCUAUCUAUCGCCAUACCCACAAGAGGGUAAUUUAUCCAACUCCCCAUGCGAAAGCAAGUCCCACGUCAGCAGUGAUUCGAGUUGUUCCUUGAGAGCAGGCUUAUGGCAUUCCAGGUAAACAUAACAAUAUGAGAGAGAACUCCGUUCGGCUUAUAAGUACUCGAUUGAACCAAUUGUUUUUUCAUUUCCCAGUAGGUCACCUUGGGCCAGCUGCUGACUUUCUAGAAAGAGACAAGGAAGUCGAUUCAACAUAAGGGAAGAAAGCAUAUUUUAGGUUUACUCCUUCCAUGUCUAGUAGGAGUGCGUGCUUCUUAUUGCCUUUCGAGCAGUAGUUGUAUACAUUCCUCACUCAGUCUAAUUAAUUAUCUUUCUCCCUACCCAAAUACCAAGGGAGGUUUAUGAGUCGUAUCCUCCUUACGAGAUAGCGGAAGUAGCAUUAGCGGGAAAAGUAAGCUCCUUUUCAAGCCUUCUCUUUCGUAACCUUUGAUUAGUUCCUUAGAUGCCCUUAGCAAGAAUGAUGCAGGAGCAAGAAAGUCUAUUUCCUCUGCCUUUCUAGAAUAUAGCUAUUCAAAUAGAACAGUAUAAAAUGCAAUCCAUAAGUCAUGCUGGUCAAUCAAUGACAAUGAUAAGCUCUAUAAAAAAAGAGUCUAUUGCUCUUCGACGCUUUAUUGGAGUUAUCUGACGCCAAGGAGGAAGGAAUAGAGAUUAGGAUCCUAGCCUUGUUCUGUUUGAAGUUCCUAAGAGAGGAAAGGGAUGCUCAAACCAAGGAUUUGGAGUCUUAUUAGUGCAUCAAUCUACAGAAAGGUAGGGGGGCAUACCUGUGUGAAAAUGGAGUGUAAAGAAUAUUCUAGAUAUUUCACUUCGAAUUUCUUCCUCUUAAAAGAGUCAAGUCCGCAGGGUUCCCUAAAUUCCCCAGGAAUCAAGUGGGACCGGGAGAUCAUUGUUCAUUCGCUGGUUGGCCCUCCCCCUAAUAAGUACCUACCAAGAAUUGGGCCAGUUAGUUCAAGCGGUACCGAAUCACAAAGAACAGUUGAGUUUUCUAAUUCAUCUAUUAUUCUAUUUUUUGCAUUUCUAGAAUAGCGUUGGAGCCGGGACACACAUUUCUGCCCGAGUUCCAACAGAAAACCAAAUACGUUAUCGUGGAAAACGAGUUUCGCCAACACAGAAGAGUUUGUGUGCGUUUUAUUUUCACAUGAGUUUGACAUAUGUGAUGGUUGGUUGGGAGGGUACGGCAAAUGACUCUAGAAUCUUUCUGGAUACAACCACUGAACCGGAAAAUGGCCACUAUCGUCACCGAGAAAAUACUAUCUUGUGGACUCAGGCUCUACGUUUAUGCCUUAAGGUCUUUCUCCUUACCAUGGGAAGCGGUACCACUUGCGUGAUUCUAGAGAAGAAGGUGGUGUCCCGACCACAAGGCGGUUAAAUUCCACUGGUGCUUGCUAGCCAGUCAAGAACGACUCGAAGACCGUGGGAAGGUCUUCACGCCACGCCGAAGACGACGAUGGCUCCAUACCGGGUGGUAAUACAUAGGUAUAGGAUUUCCUGUAAUGAUGUGAAACUGUAUAUUUCAGAGAAAUAGCUCAGUUCGAGAGGAAGGCGGAAACAGUUCCGGUUUUAUUAACCUGAUUCCUAUUCAUUUACCGGUAAAGGAAGGAAUUCUUAUCUAUUUCUCGAGGCAAUUAUACUCAUAUCGACAAUAUGAACUGCAUGAGAAUUAGCAUAUAGAAAGAAAGCUUUACCGAAUAUAGGUCUAGUAGGUAUAGAGCCGUAAGCGUGGUGGGGGUGCCGGUGCUUAGGCAGAUGCCCCAUUGUUCAUGAUGUUGCAAUGAAUCCAGUGGAUCAUCCUCAUGGAGGAGGUGAGGGGCACACGAAAGGAGGUAGACCUUCGGUGUCACCUUGGGGAAAGCUCACCAAAGCAGGAUUUCGGGCAGUAGUAGGGGUGGUGAAACUUUAGAUGUCAAAUGCCACCAAUUUUUCUGCUCAAGUUAGAACGUAGUUUUUCGAAGUGAAUUGGCCAGUUCCUUUUAAAAGGAGACUGGUUUCUUUUUAUAAGCGAUUGGCUUCACUUUAGAUUUUUUAUCGUAAUUUCUCUUUGAUUUAUGGGUUGUUAUUUAUUAUUUCGAUUUUUGAUAAACGAAACGAAUCCAAGCCCGACAAGUAGAAUUCCAUUCGGUACCUUUGGGGUUUUCUCUUUCCUUCUGGAUGACGACGUCACCGCGUCUCCUUAUUGUUAUUGCGAUGGUGACGAGGAACAAAGGGCCGGGGAGAUCAUCGAAAUUACCUCUAGCCCGGAGCCAGAGGGGGUCGUCGACACAACGCCAACCCUGGUGGUGGGGCACUUCGAAGGUCUGGAGACCCUCCUUGAGAUUCCCCCUUUACCGGAAACGCCACCCGCAGGUCCUUCCUUAGCUCCAGAAGAAAGGGAGCAAGCCCCCUCUAUUGGCCUAAACCUCGAUCCAUCCCAGAGUAGCCGCCGACUGGACGGCGGCGAACGGGGGGCAAACUCCUCAAAACGAAGUUCUACUUUGUCUUUGGAAGAAUUGGAAGAAUCGGACUCUAAGUUUAAAGUAGGAGUAGAGUCUUUAGAGGCUCGCUUAGAAGGAAUAAAGAGAAAAAAGCAACUGCAAGCGUUCGGGGCUUCUCCUUUUGAGACCGUGAAAGUAGAGCUGGUUACGUCCAUUGGGGAAAAUUCCCAGUUUCGUGUGGGACUGCUUUUGUCUCUGGAUGUCAAAUGCCCCUUGACGGGCAAACGGGAGGCUCUCGAAAAGACGAUAGAGGCCAUCUUGAAAUGCCAAGGGAAGCCCACAGACUCCCUAGCGUCUCUACUCGACCUAAAAUGCGAUCUCGAGGACCCCGAAAAACUCGAGACCGCUCUCCGUCCAUAUUUAGGACGGUUAGGGCGAUUUUUUAAGAAAUAAAAACCUUCUGUCGAUUUAUCCACACUUCCAUGUCUUCUAGAGGAAAGCUAACUGCUUGCUGGCUGGGAGCUGUAUGAGCGGUAACGUCCACGUACGGCUCCGUGAGAAGGUGGACGGAAAUGGCCUUGUUGUACCUCACUCCCGUCUUCAAUGGGGUCUGCUCUUUUUUUAGGAGAGUAUGCCAAUAUGAUCUUAAUGAGGUGCGGGGCUUUGCAUCUGACAUUCGUUGGGCUUUCCUCUGCGGGAGCCCGCGUCCCGGCCUUUUUGUGCAAUAAACCCCUCCGGCCGAAGACUAGUGAUAGGUGGUCCCGCGGAGCUUUCGGAGAAGGGUAGCCUAGUGUGUAAGCACAGCAAUGAACUGCGGCGAACCCUCAGACGACCCUCUAAGAUAAGGGGGGAGAUCCUCAGUAGUGGUGACCCUUUGACUCUUCCACUGACUUAUAUAUGUACCGAAUGCUCAUACGGGAAAGUGAACUCCUGGGUUUGGAACCUGGGGGGGUUGAUCCGAUAAAAAAUCCUUUCUUUCUCGUCCACUCUAGGGGGUGCGGACACACCUGCGCGGAUUACAGGUGACGGUUACAAGAAUGGCGGGGAAGUGAAGAGUACCCGACGACAUUCAGGGAUGAAUGUAGACCCAUCGGGCGGGGAUAAUCAUUCCGGUCCUAGGAGAGGUGGCGACACCAGUCUGAGCUGAGGGAAGCCAGCCAAUUGAGUCACUGAAACGACCGCAGGAGGCACACCCUAAGCCCAGCUUUUCGGAGCUGCUAUUGCGAAAUACGGCUUCCUUAAUAUCCAAAUUUCAACAAGGGGGCUGGGCUGCUCGCCUUCAUAGAAAGGCGACCGGGCCUAGAUUAGAUGUUCGCCUUUUUAUAGAAUAGAAAGAGAAGGUAAAGGGGGGGGGUUGGAGAUUCUUUCAAGAAUGCAUGGCCUCCUCCUAUUCCGCUUCAACAGAAGCCCUUAAAAUCCUGCUGCUAUGGCAGCAAGGGUUAUCCAUUUCAUAGGCGGGGGAGGGGGAGAAGCAAGCCGAACCUCUGAUCGACCCGGACACGUCAAAAAUUCUCGGCGCCGAGAGAAAGACGAGAUUCAGUAAGUAAUUCAGUGAGUGCUUUCUUUUAUAAGAAGAGCGUCGGCUUGGAAGAAGAAAAUGAAAUAUGAACAACCACGCUGGUUGUAAUAGAUCGACUUGAAUGCGUCUUCUUGCUCCAGCAUUCAAGUUCCAUUUCAACGGAGGACGACGUACCAUGAUACUUUCUGUUUUGUCGAGCCCUGCUUUGGUCUCUGGUUUGAUGGUUGUACGUGCUAAAAAUCCGGUACAUUCCGUUUUGUUUCCCAUCCUAGUCUUUUGCGACACUUCUGGUUUACUUAUUUUGUUAGGUCUCGACUUCUCCGCUAUGAUCUCCCCAGUAGUUCAUAUAGGAGCUAUUGCUGUUUCAUUCCUAUUCGUGGUUAUGAUGUUCAAUAUUCAAAUAGCGGAGAUUCACGAAGAAGUAUUGCGCUAUUUACCAGUGAGUGGUAUUAUUGGACUGAUCUUUUGGUGGGAAAUGUUCUUCAUUUUAGAUAAUGAAACCAUUCCAUUACUACCAACCCAUAGAAAUACGACCUCUCUGAGAUAUACGGUUUAUGCCGGAAAGGUACGAAGUUGGACUAAUUUGGAAACAUUGGGCAAUUUACUUUAUACCUACUAUUCCGUCUGGUUUUUGGUUUCUAGUCUGAUUUUAUUAGUUGCUAUGAUUGGGGCUAUAGUACUUACUAUGCAUAGGACUACAAAGGUGAAAAGACAGGAUGUAUUCCGACGAAAUGCCUUGGAUUCUAGGAGCCAUAUAAUGAACAGGACUAUUUCUCCUUUUGGCCAUAGCCAUAGAAGAAGCUUCUCCUCCGGAGCGGGGGGACCGCCUGACAAUUACAAAGAAACCUUUAAAAUGUGGAUUUAGUGCCCAGAAUAUAAGGAUUUCCCUGGCUUAAAAUGCAAGAUAGACAGACUUCUUGCAUUCCUUGAGCCUGGGGAGAUCCUAUUCAUGGUAAACAUGUUCCCCCGGGACUUUCCUCUGCUCGAGAUCUUAGAACCCCAGGAUAUCCGAAAUAUAAUUGCUCACUCGCACAAGCAGUGGAAGCCACCCAAAAAGGGAGGCUAGUAAAUUUUUUUGGUAGGUUUGUAUUGUUUCUCGAAUUGGUAGGUUUCUCGAAGUUGUUUUAGUAGGUUUCUCAGGAAAUAGAGAUGCCGAGGCCCCUACUUACCUUAUGGGUAGGUAGGGGGAAGGAAGAGUGGGUCAGAGGGCUUCCUUCACAGUGCAUACCUCUCUUUCUCUUCUGAGUUUUUCUGGUCACGCAAGAUCUUUGGUCUUCCCCCCGGAACCGAUGAAAAAGCGGGUCGCUUCUUAUGGACUCGCUCAGAAUGAUUCUUUUAUAUCUAAGGAAAGGGGAUGACAUUAUCGCCAUUGAUUGAAUUCGUACGUCUAUCGCUAUCCCGGGCCGAGGAGAGGGGGUUUCGGAAGGAGGAAGGCUCGUUUCAUUAUCGAAUAUCGUGUAGAACUCACUUGCCCUGCCUUUUGCUAGGAGAGUGUAGUUCGAGCAUUCUAUUCUGUGCUCGAUCCGUGAUACGCAAAGCAAUCUCCUGUUUACUAUUGAUCUAAUGACAGUUGAUUGAGACUUGCCAUUGUCGUCUUUCGAAAGCGAAAUCUUAUCUGGUUGCACUCGGGUUCUCCUGUCGACUUGUUUUUCAAUAGUAAAUCACAGGCAGUAUGCCAUAUUUGAAAACAUGCAAUGAGGGUACGAGCAACACUCCCCAAACUUGGCAUGACUCAUCGCCAUCUUGUAUUCAUGAUCUUACCUCUAUUGGUCACAAAUGCAUAGCAUAGGAUCGAGUGGAUCGGCACCCAAUAGGCCAGAUUUUCAUAUCUUUGAUGUUAGAAGUGAUUCCAAUCUAUUUUUCUAUAGUGAUAGUUCACACAUUAGCAAUUACCACUGCCUCAAAGCAAACAUAGGAACUAGGGAGUUCAUCGAGAGAAAGUCCCUUUAGUUUCGUACUUCCUUGUUUCGGAUUUGCAUAUGUCUUUAAUCGCAAUAGUUGUAGAGAAAUCCCUCAAUCACGGGACAAUCCUCCAGGGCAAAGGUACUUCCAAAGCUCAGAAGGUUCAUCUGUGCAUGAAAGGAAUGAAACAAAUUCCAUAGAAAAAAUAGGAAAAUCCCCACCGAGAUCGGUACCUAUCUAGAUCCCCAGCUUCGACAACAAAACUCCUUCGCAUUUUGCGACCAUUCCCGCGAGGACUACGAUUCGGAUUAUCUAAUGUCAUCCCCAAACAGAAUUACACCUCUUAAGAGGAAGGGACGGCCCUCUAUCCGGUGUGGGUUCCUACGAAUUAUUGUAUGGUUCCAGAUCCAGGUCCCUCUGCCCUUGCUUUUUGUUAUUCCAUAGGGGUAUGGAUUGAAGUAAUCACUAAUCCAGGAAAGAUGGAUCUUUAGCUAGAAAAACGAAAAGCCAAUACGCCAUGUAUCAAAACAAUAGGGAUAGGGGUAGUUGUAUACCACCUACGAAUAGGAAGAUCCUGGGUUUUGUAAGAAAACUACGAAUAGGAAGAUCAUGGGUUUUGUAAGAAAACUACGAAUAGGAAGAUCCUGGGUUUUGUAAGAAAACUACGAAUAGGAAGAUCAUGGGUUUCAUCAAUUCUAAGCACGGUAACGGCAGUGCUCCUAUCCAACGGCCGGGGAUCUAUUCGAUUUCUCAAUUUGCUAAUGCCGAUAAGCUUAGGUUGUUAUUUCAUCGUUUUGUGCUAAAAAGGCACCCUCCUAUUAUGCUAACAAAGGGACGGAUAACGGCAAAGCAGAACAGCAAUAGCGAAAGCAGGUACAGUAAUUGUGCAAUCCCUAAAAAAGAAUCAAAAUAGAGAAAUUUAGAGCGCUGCAAAUUUCCUUCUUUUGAUAAUGCUACCCACACAGUCACGGCUCCUAUCCGGUCACCGGGUUAAACAAUUGAUUCCUCUCAACGCAUCCCCGCGGUAAAGAGCUAGUCGUAUUCUUUUGAGAAUUCUCUAGUUGUAUUCAAGCAAGAGUCCUCGGCAUCCUACGAAAACAAGCGCUAGGAAUAUCAAUAGCGUUAGCGUUAGCGUCCUGGCCUUUGCUUGGGGAUUCCUCUAUGGAAUUCCAAACAUGCCAUUGCUUUGCCUUUGCUCGUCCCUUUGAUUCAAUCCUUCUUCUCCUCGAAAGCUACAACUAGAAAAUAUAUUCUUCUUUGCCGGUGCGAACCCUUCUUUUGAAUAACAACCAUUGGCAAGACCAGCGAAAUCCGAAUACUAAUCCGAGGAAAGCCCAUCCCUACUUCCCUUUGCUGUUGUUCCUCGAAAUCCUCUACUAGUCAUUGGUUUCAAAGCAAAGGUAUCCGGUAUAGGGGGUCGUGGGCAGGUUAGUGUUUCAUUUCGAUAGGUGAUAGUGGUAUACCCAAACCAUAUGGUAUAGGUCUUGGAAAGGAAAGUAAAUCAAGUCCAUCUUACAGGAUUUCUUCACUUGCUUGGGCUUAAGCGGUACCAGUACCCGGAGAAUAGUUCCAUUCUCUUUCUCCACAUGACACCCUUGUGUUGUCAAACUAAUGAAUCCCUCUCCGCCCCUGCUCCGACAAAGCAAUAAGCACUAGGGUAUCCACCCACCCGCCAGUUCGGAUAGCCGGUUUCCUCCCCUUCCUCUCAAGUUAAAGGUUCUGGGCUACGGCUUCCGGUUCCGUAUUCCGAUUCGUCUUCGGAUAGCAUUAGAAAAUCCCUUUCAUGCCUUGCCAAUACAACUAUUAUUUUUCUUAGCCAAGGAGCCUUUGGAAGUACCGUUGUUGGAUCGGAUUGAGCCAUUAUUGGAUCGGAUAAAGAUUCACUCUUUGCCAAUGCCUGCUUCCUUGGUUUCCUACUUUCUGCAUCGAAAGUGACUUUUUGCUCAGUAUCGAGAACCACUUCUUCUCCUUUUCGAGGCGUAGAUCGCCCGUCAUCUAAUUUGCUUCGUCAAAGCGGAUAGCAUUAUGGAAUUGAUUAUAUUCGUAGAAAAAGCACCCCUAUUUAAUAAGUCCUCGGAAAUGAUCUCAUCCAGUACUUCUCUCAGCCUAUUUGCCAAGACUUUGGAGCAUAGCUUGUAAAUGACAUUGCACAAAGAUAUCGGCCUAUACUGUGAGAUUUCUUGGGGGUUCUACUGUCAGCAAGUGCACUAUUAUUUACUUCACCGCGUACUUAAAGAAUUUUUGGUAGCAAAGAACAACACCUGAUAGAAAGGAUGCUAACCAAGCCUCUUCUGUUUAAGCAAGGCUAAGCCAGAAUAAGGGGUACAGUAGGCUGGUGACCCUGACAAUAGCACUAAGACUGCCUCGGGAAUCUCCUCAAUCAUUGAAGAGUGCCUCGGGAAUUGAAUAAAAGCACUGAUAUCCAUAUAAUCCUACAAUUAUGCUCUAUUCUCUUGAAGAGAAGACACUUGAACUUCGUCAUGUGCUAUUGAUCCUUUUGAACCUAAAUUCACAUUGGCUCUUUUGGCAUACAACUUUUGUUUUUCUGUGAAAGUCCUCCUUCCUCUGGACAAAGAUUACAUUAGAGGUGCCUCGACCCGAAAGAGCAUGAUACAAUCAAUUAGGACGUAGCUCUGCUACAAGAAAGGAUAGGACUUUUGCCAAGUCUAGAGUUCGACUUCUAAAAAGAGAAAGCCACUAACAAAAAGAAAGAAAAGAGGAGGAAGCUGGACUUACCUCUGUUCGAGAUACAAUGAAACGAAUAAAUAAGUCUUAUGGAUGAAUGUUGAAGACGGACGAUACAACCCUACUAAAAGUCACAAAGCUCACUUCGCUAUCAGGCCUACCAGCUGCUUCAUAAUAUAGGUGAGAUAGAUUAAUUGAUUGUUUCUUUUUUUGUUAUAGAAUUCUAAAUCGAGCAUUAGUUUGAACGACAUAGAAAACUCUUUUCCAACUAAGCACUCUUGAGCAUCAAGCAAUUAUAUGGCUUGGAUUCGGUCUGUUCCAUCUUUUACCUUUGGAAAAAUAAAGGGAUUGGAGCCGCAAAUCCUUGUUGAAGAGGAUAUCGAGCACAAGAGUGAAGAGUGAAGAGUAGAGGGCGCAUUGGAUGUGCGCUCCCUAUGAACGAUGUCCCACUAGAAAUGGAUCUUCGGAAAGAAGAGUGUUUCUCUUGAUAUUUCUAUUAUAUUCUAUUUCUAUAAGUGAAUUAUUGAUCAAGAUCAAAUGGAGAAAAUGUAGAUGUGAAACUAUGUUCUUUGAACACCUUCUUCCAUGCUUUUGAAGCUGGCAAAUAGGGGAGUGAGUGAAGAGAGAAGCCAUGCCUCUUUCAAUGUGAGGCAAGCGAUGAACGAGUAGAUGCUGCCCUUAGACCAAUUUUCUCUUUCGGUAGCUGACACCGAGAUGGGCUAGGCUAGGAAACCUUAUUCGAGACGAUAGGGAUGGUAAACAAAGCGAUGGGGUAUACGUACGAAUUGGAAUACAAAUGAAAUCAUUGCCUAUAAAGAUGAACCCGUUAGCGUAUAGGAACAACAGCAUAUGAAAGUUGGGCGGAUACUCCUAUUUAAUUGGUUUAACCAGAAACAGAGGAUAGGAUUCGAAAAGUCAACCGAAAACUGAGCCCUAACCUUUAAUUGAUGAGAAUUUCCAUACCCCUACUACUCGUAUGUAUUGGCGUGGGUUCGUAUGUAAACAUUCGUAUUGGCUUAGCAGAGCACUUCGUAUCCCGCCACAACCGAUCCUUUGCUUCCUUCUCACUCAGCUUUUUGACUCAACAGUCGUUCCCCCUGUUACACAAAGCUACGUAUACAGGGGUAGUUGUUCAUCCCUUUUGCUCGUGACAUAUCCCCUCGCUCUGUCUUCUAUUCCUUCUGUGCGUUACGUUACUAAGGCCAUCGGUCUUAUGGAAAGAGAAGGCAUAUAAUCGAUUCUUUGACCGGCUUUGCUUCUUUCGUGAUUCACGUAGAUUGGAAUUCACUUUCUUUAGGGCAUGGCUAGUUUCGGGUUUUCUAAAACCAUCACCCAACUCUUUCUUAUUCAGACACGCCAACUGAUAUGUUGGAUUAACAAGCUAGGGAAUAAUUGGGGCUUAUGUGGACCCCUUCCCUUUAAUUUAAGAAAGAGGUCUUCCUAGCUGACUUGAAACUAGAUCUUCUUCCGAGUUUCGUUCUCUAUGGCUUGUGAAUUGCUGUGCUGCCUGUUUCACUCUCUUCUAAGGGAUCUCCUCCUAUGGAGGUAUGUAAAGUGGGUUCUAUCGCAUUUUCCAUCUUAGGGCGAGCAAUAUAAGCAAUUCUGGUAUCAACAGAUACAUUGUUUGGGAAAGAAAGUGAAAACAAUAGAUCCAAUUCUGGGUUUUGGGGAUGGAUUUCUCACAACCCUGAGGUGCUUGCUAAUCUCUCGGACAAGUCGAUGUCAAUAGCAAUUCUGAUGAAACAUCUUAAACAUCUUUAGUGCCUUUUGCCUUUGAGCUCAAUCGAUCAGAAGAAAGGGAAUAUAACCUGCCCCUCAUUGUCCUUCAAUCAUGGUGCAAUGAAUAUCGUAGAUAGAGUGAUUUCGAUCUCAUAUAGCUAGCUUUCCUUUCAAAGUGAAACGAUUUUCCUUUUACGUUGAGAUAUUUGAAUUGGAUUUUCUUUCAUCACUACUAUCGUAACGCACAGAAAACACUGACGUUUCCGCUCGCUUUCAACCACUGCCACUUUACCUGAGCACUGUGACGCAGUCGGUCAAGUAUUGAGUUUCUGCUAGUAUAUCAAGGACUUAUGAGAACUGAAAAGAAAAAAAUGAAAAAAGGAAUUCUCAUAGUUCAUUGAAUUAAGGGAGGGCCAUUCGUGGGGGGUUCGUGGAAGAGUUGGGUUCGAUUCCCUUUAUACGCGAUGUGGCCAAAAAGAAUGAUUCAACGAAAUAUGCCAUGCCAGCAUUAAGAUUUAAAAUGUGUCGUCUACUUCCAGGAAAUGUUCGGAACAAAGAACUUUCUCUAAUCCAAUGCCGUAUUCUCCGAAGAUUGAGGAACAAGAGGAGAUCCAUUAAAAGAAAUCUUUCUCGGAGAGAAAAUCGAAACAGUAACAUCAAAUCACAAACUACACGAAAGUUGUCUCUUUAUUAUGGGGAUUUACCCAUAAGGGAGAUGCACAGAGGAAGAGAACUAACUUCAUAUAUCCCUUUUUUACUCAAUCAAGAAACAAGAUCGGACGUGAUUCCGGUUCGUCUCCAUUUUAGUGACACUCUUCCUCAAGCAAGGCAGCCGAUAAGUCAUCGAAGGGUUUGUUUGAAUAAUGGACUGGUAACCAUUACUCAUUUGAAAGUUUCCCACUGUGAUCUAAUAUCUUUUAAAGAAAAUGACGCGAGAACCCGCGGUUUUGAAAUAAGGAGAUCUUUCUAUAUCGACAUAUCAGUUGGAAAAAUCAUAGGCAAAUUCCUAUCGGUUGAUCAAUCCAUGAUGGGAUAGAAUUUGCCGAGUCAGGUCUAACUGUUGGUGAUCUCUGUACUAGAAUAGAAGCCCUGCUAAUUGUGAAGAACCCACAGCCAGGAGCGUUAGCAACUGGAUUUUACCACACUCCAUUAUACCCUCCCUUGGGGGAUGGCUUGGUGCUAAUGUAGGACUUUCGGAGACCUUCCGCUUGCUGUUUUGGUCCAGCCUGAGUGGCCAUAACUUCUACUGUGAUUUAGCUUGGCGCGGUCUUGCUCUUGUUGUUCCGUUGUUGCGCGUCCUAUUCUGAUAUUUAGGACCAAGAGGUACUGGAUUCUCUUUCGGAUAGGCCCUGAAAGGAGAAGAAAGGCUGAAAUGCCAACGGACGUCUGUCUAUUCUCUAAUUCACCCGAUCCCUAUCCGCUUUCCAAAAAGGAAGAAUGCAUGAACCACGGCAGAGGAGAAAGGACGGAUCACCUGCUGAUCUUUUACAAAACUAUGCCAGAAAGGAUAUAAAGAUUGACCGGUACAAAAGCCAUCUCCAUCAAUCUACGCUCAUUAAGGAGAGGGUUCCUUAGAGAAUAAAAUGGGGAGCGAACGAAAAAGAUGUGUGGCUGAGGUGUUGGGAGCCCCCAAUAGAGAAGGACGAUGCGGAAAGGUAUGGUGGGAAUACAAACAGGCCUGGAUAGAAGAAGUAGACGAAAGACCUCCAGGCUGUGUCGUCAUUCUCAAUCCUGAAAAGAGAGCGCACAUCCUGAGGAAGGCGCGUCAUGCAAAGGUUCCCAUUUUUUUUCCUUAGUUGACCCCGUGUUUCUAUCGGAUCCUAAGCUUCAUCGGGACAAGCGCAUAAACCAUCCCAUCCCGGUAGAGGGGACAGAGCAGCUCAGCGGGCUAAUCAGUGACCUCAUCUACCCAAAGACUUUAUUUCUGCUGUACUUUCUUAAGCAAUAGGAGCUCCUUCAUAUGCCCUUGAAGGCGGGAAUAUUGGUACUGAAACGAGGUUUAAAGGUACCUUUUCCCGUUGUCCGCUUUGCCUUCGUACGACUUUCCUUGGCAAACUAUCCCAAAAAAGGAAUGGGCUUUUUCAAAAUCAAACUUGUUGUUUACUCAUUGUGGCAAAACAAAACUCUCUUAUUUUCCUUCGAGAUGAAUACCAAUUUGAUAGAGGUGGGGCAUUUUCCAUGAGUGGAUUCGAGAAUGUGGUCCCUCCUCUCUUUUGACCAGUCCUUGGCUUCUUUGUUUGAUGAUGGCGAUAGCUCUUCUCUAGCCCGGCUAGAUAACAAAACAAUGAAAUAGCACGCCACUGUGGUGAUAAAUCUUCUUGAUGAAAUCUUACUGAUUCAACUCGUGGACCUUUUCCAAAUAGUAGUGGCCUUCGUUCGAAAGGUGAAAACAACCAGUCAAUACCUUAUUGAUUCAAAAGGGAAUGCAGAUGCAAUCUACUUGGAAUAAAGGGUCUUGGCAUGUAGUUGACUUCAUAAUGAAGAGCCAGAAGUUUAAUGUCACUAGCUUCAUUCUUACAGAAAUUGAUCAAGCUAGAAAGAAGGGAUUUCCACAAGAAUCUUCUCUUUGC
This 20465-nucleotide long non-coding RNA is filed under the name Triticum aestivum (bread wheat). RNAcentral's name for it is "long non-coding RNA (TAES_LNC011620)". Lineage: Eukaryota; Viridiplantae; Streptophyta; Magnoliopsida; Poales; Poaceae. The record is from RNAcentral.